AAUAGAUACCCAGGUAGUCCACGCCGUAAACGAUGGGUACUAGGCGUCUGGGGGGAGCGACCCCCUGGGUGCCGGCGCUAACGCAUGAAGUACCCCGCCCUGGGGAGUACGGCCGCAAGGCUGAAACUCAAAGGAAUUGACGGGGGCCCGCACAAGCGGUGGAGCAUGUGGUUUAAUUCGACGCAACGCGAAGAACCUUACCUGGGCUUGACAUGCUGGAGAAAGCUCCCAGAAACGGGAGCCCCUCUUCGGAGUUCCAGCACAGAUGCUGCAUGGCUGUCGUCAGCUCGUGUCGUGAGAUGUUGGGUUAAGUCCCGCAACGAGCGCAACCCUCAUCCCUAGUUACCAGCGGGUAAAGCCGGGAACUCUAGGGGGACUGCCGGUGCCAAACCGGACGAAGGUGGGGACGACGUCAAGUCAUCAUGGCUCUUACGUCCAGGGCUACACACGUGCUACAAUGGGUCAGACAAAGGGCAGCCAACCCGCGAGGGGGAGCCAAUCCCAUAAACUGAUCCUCAGUUCGGAUUGCAGUCUGCAA
RNAcentral lists this ribosomal RNA (538 nucleotides) under uncultured bacterium. Its description in RNAcentral is "bacterial SSU rRNA". It matches the Rfam family "Bacterial small subunit ribosomal RNA", at positions 777 to 1310 of the family's 1533-position model. The record is from RNAcentral.